GUCGCGCUGGACCUGCGAGCCCCGCAGGCAGCCCAGGUUCCGGCCCGCGCCUCUCCCUCCACACCUCCCCGCCAGCAGAGGGAGCCCGCUCAGGCCUCAGCCAGCACAGAGAGGGGCUCCCACGGUGCAGCUGCGGGCUGAAGGGCUCCUCAAGCGCGGCCAGAGUGGGCUGAGGCCGAGGAGGUGCCGAGAGCCAGCGAGGGAUGCCAGCAAGCUGUCACCUCUCAGAAAUACAGGAAGAACAUCAAUAAUGUUCGAAGUUAUAAAGUAGCUGGAAUGCACUUGGAUGCCAGAGAUUUUGAUUUCUUCAUGUGAAAUAAGUUGCGGAGGUCAGAGGUCAGAAAACAAGGUGUCUGCAGGACCAACCUCUCCUCUGGAUGCUCUAGGUGAGAAUCUUUUCCAUGCCUUUCUCUUAGCUUCUGAUGUUGCCAUCAGAACUUCAGAUGGUGUUCCUUGGCUUCUGUCAAUAUUAAUACAUAAAUCCUUUUCAGUCUCAGCUUCUCUCUUCACAUGGUCCUCUCCACAUCCUAUCUGUUUCUGUUCCCUCUUCUUAUAAAGACAACCCAUGUUAUUUUAAGUCCCACCUACAGACAUAAUUUUAGCUUGAUUACAUCUGCAAAAACUUUGUGUCCAAAUGAGGUUUCAUUUACCUUAUGUGUAUAACUAGGGGUUAGGGCUUGAACAUACG
Homo sapiens (human) is the source of this 688-nucleotide long non-coding RNA. RefSeq lists it as uncharacterized. The transcript is spliced from 3 exons. The record is from RefSeq and is a predicted model, not a curated record. Lineage: Eukaryota; Metazoa; Chordata; Mammalia; Primates; Hominidae.